CUGGAAACACCCUAAAUGAAAGCUACCUUGUAUGGGGCCCUGUGAGUGGCUGCGACUUUUGUACGUGGGACCUCCCCUGACUAGGCUCAGACACAGCUCCUGAGCUCAGAGACCUGGGACUUGAAUUAUGAGAUUGGUGACAGGAAUAACUCUUCUCCUCACUUUAGGAAUUGUGGGAGAUGCUAAGACCACACAGCCAGUUUCAGUGGAGAGCACUGAAGAAGAUGCCGUGCACUUGCCCUGUAACCACUCCACCAUCAGUGGAAGCGAGUUCAUAUACUGGUAUCGACAGCUGCCCCACCAGGGUCCAGAAUACAUGAUUCAUGGUCUGAAAGGCAAUGUGAACAAUAAGAUGGCCUCUCUGAACAUCGAAAUAGACAGAAAGUCCAGCACCUUGGUCCUGCCCCAUGUUAUGCUGAGAGACACUGCUGUGUACUACUGCAUCCUGAGAGACCCACAGUGGGACAGAUGGGGCUGCACCUGUACAACAUGUCCUUAGUGGGG
This is a non-coding RNA of Phacochoerus africanus (Common warthog), 504 nucleotides long. The record is from the annotation of a RefSeq genome assembly. NCBI's taxonomy places the organism in Eukaryota, Metazoa, Chordata, Mammalia, Artiodactyla, Suidae.